Non-coding RNA from Fukomys damarensis (Damara mole-rat), 372 nucleotides. NCBI's taxonomy places the organism in Eukaryota, Metazoa, Chordata, Mammalia, Rodentia, Bathyergidae. The record is from the annotation of a RefSeq genome assembly.
AUGCUGUUUGCCAGCCUGCUUGGGGCAGCCGUCACCUCCAUCUGCCUUGGAACCAGCAUGGCCCAGAAAGUAUCUCAAGCUCAAACUGCAGUUUCAGGGCUGGAGAAGGAGGCUGUGACCAUGGACUGUGUGUAUGAAACCAGUGAUUCUGCUUAUUCCUUAUUCUGGUACAAACAACCAGCGAGUGGGGAAAUGAUUUUCCUUAUUCGUCAGGACUCUUACAGUGAACACAAUGCAACGGAGGGCCGGUAUUCUCUGAGUUUUCAGAAGGCAGCCAGGUCCAUCAGGCUCACCAUCACAGCCUCCCAGCUCCUGGACUCAGCAGUGUACUUCUGUGCUCUGAGAGAGGGCACAGUGAGCAGAGGCCUGUAG